Petromyzon marinus (sea lamprey) is the source of this 2743-nucleotide long non-coding RNA. RefSeq lists it as uncharacterized. NCBI's taxonomy places the organism in Eukaryota, Metazoa, Chordata, Hyperoartia, Petromyzontiformes, Petromyzontidae. The record is from RefSeq and is a predicted model, not a curated record.
UAGUGACUGCAAGCUGCUUGUCAUGAUUGCGUUUCUAAACUUGGCUCUGUGAGGAACUAGUUGGCGGAUGGAUCUGCUCGACGGUGCAAGCGGGCUAUAUAAGGGCGCUCACCGUGCUCCGCCGUCUCUUUUGCAACGGCGCCCUGCGUGUGCGUGCACAGAAUGGAGAAUCUCAAAAUGGCGGCCUCCAUGGGCCGCACGUGGCGAAGACGCCACCCACGUGGUUUGGCCACAUGACGUAACAUCCGGCCCUACCGAAGGAGGGCAAUGUUGGUCUGAGGUGGGCGAGCGGAGUGGAUCGCGAGUGGAGGUCGCUGCAUCCUCUCUGCAUGUCGCCCAUGGCCAAGGAAAACCCAGCGGCGAUUGCAUAGGUGGGGCGGGAGAUUGUUGAGCCCGGCAAGGUGGGAUCGUACCAUUGAGUGGGAACAGAGACCAUGUCACCCUACUCGUCACCCGUUCAACCAGCUGACCUGGAGGUGGACAGACUGAUGCAACGGGGGAGGGGGAGAGGUGGACAGAUGCAAGCUGCUGGUAACCGCUGACGACUGCCUCCCUCGUCCCACGGUGUGGUGCUGAAGCUCAAGUUGGAUUCCCAGCUGGACCAGAAGGCACUGGGAUCUUGCUGGCCGCUACCCCUGGGGCUCGUAAUUGUUGACACCGGCUGCCCCUGGAGGAGGGGGGCAGCAGCUGCUGCUGCUGCAUCGUCUCCUAUCCCGUGUUUCCCUUGCCGCUUCAAAUUUAGCACAGUUGCCUAUAUGUACCACGCAACAUAAGUUGUAGAUACUCCCCUCGCCUACAUCGACAUGAAUGAAACUCUUACCGCUCGAUGCCUCUCCCAGCGCACAAACUUCCCCUAGCCUCGGUCAUUCGCAAGAUGGCGACCCCACCGCUACACAAGGGGCGUUUUGCGUGCUGCAGCUCGGCAAGACCCAAUCGGUAAUUGCGGUGCAGCGUGCGUUUCGACGGCGUUUUGGCAUCGAUCCGCCGAUGUCCAAGAGCGUCCGUGGUUGGCACCGACAGUUUGAGGAAACUUGUUGCUUGUGUAAGGGGAAGAGCGCGGGGCGACCGCGCACCUCGGAGGAGAACGUGAGGAGAAUUCAGGAGAGUUUUCUGCGUGGCCCGCGCAAGGUCCACCCGUCCGUGUCAGCCGAGAACUUGCGAUCCCUCGUACGACCGUCUGGCGUGUGUCGAGGCGACCUUUAAUCACGAGGCCGCACCGGUCGCAAGUGUUCCAGUCUCUUGGUGCAGGCGACAAAGGAAGGCGCGUGGAAUUUUGUGACGCGGUGUUAGAGCAUGGAGGACGGACGACUUCUUGCCGCCUUUGAUUUUUAGUGAUGAAGCGACGUUUCAGCUUUGCGGUAAAGUUAACCGGCACAACGUGCGCAUGUGGGGAUGGGAGAAUCCACACGAAACUGCAGAGCGCGAGCGUAGUUCCUCGACGGUGAACACGUUUUGUGCCGUUUCUCAAAGAAAGGUUUACGGCCCUUUCUUUUUGGAGGGAAACACAAUCACGGGGCAAGCGUAUCUCGAAAUGCUGCAGAAAUGGCUCCACAGCUUGACGAAGAUUCUGAUGACUUUAUUUAUCAGCAGGACGAUGCACCGCCACAUUGGCACCUGCAGGUGCGACGUUUUCUAAAUGACGCACUGCCUCAACGUUGGAUAGGUCGCACAGGGACCCCAAGAUUUGGCGCUACACGCCUGGCCCCCAAGAUCCCCAGACAUCACCACACCCUGUUUGACUUCGUGGGGAUACGUCAAAGACCGUGGUGUUUUUGUGCCACCGUUAGCGACUAAUCUGGAUGACCUCAAACAGAAUCUCGGCAGUGGGUGACAUCAGUGGAAGAAGACGCUUUGAGAGGCGUUUGGGACGAAUUAAACGAUUGUCUCGAUGUUGUCCGUACAGCAGACGGAGGGCACGUAGAGCAUUUAUAAAAUGGUAAAAAUUUAUAACGCUUUAAACCGUUUAACUUUUUGUGUAAUUGUAACAUGUUUCUAUGGUGAAAUAUACUACUUUGAAAUUUGGUCCAUCUUUUUGAAACGCCCUGUACAGUAAUUUAUCUAUUUAAACCAGAAAUGACUAAAAUACAUUUGACGAUCUAUGAAUACAUUUAUUGCUGAGUUUAGACGGCACUUUUUGAGCAGAAUGAUGCAAUAUGAACCUGGUAUGAUAUCAAUUGCAUGUUAUUCCUAGAAGUCAUGGAUGAUACAAUGACAACUCGGCUUGCAUCCUGCUGAACAAAUUACCCAAUAUCAACUCUAGAAAUCAGUGGUGCACUUUGUCGGUGUUUGAUUUUGCAAAGGGACACUUCUGUUUAGCCAAAGUUAGCAGAGCUGCCUCGUGCUUGUGAACAAAGCAGAACUGCUGUGUUUGCGGUGAAGUGACUUUUGCAUCACCAGCGCAGUGACCACGGGUUAAGGAAGCCUAUCACCUGUGUUUUGGCUGCACAAUUGGAGAUUGGAACAAGAUGUGGGCUUCACACGCUGCAACACUUGUGCAACACAUUUUUGCCAGUGGUUGAAAAGGAAAUGUAUGCCUUUUGCAGUGGCAAUGAUUGAGACAAAUUGUUAGGUUGGGAAAGGUGUGAAGAGGAACACGUGAGCUGCAUUAGCCAUAGAUUCAAUCUGCUAAACGCCCAUUUAAUGAAUACAAGAGAAGCCAAGAACUAGACACUGAAUAAGACCUAAACGAUGUAUUUGUAUCCAAGUUUUUUGCCUUGUUUUGUAAUAAAUUGUAUUUUUAUAA